CGGGGAGCGGGGGCCGCCCGCGGGCCCGGGCACCCCGCGCCGGGUCCGGCACUGCCGAGGAGCAGCGGCCGGGCGGCGGGAGGAGCGAGAUACACUGAAUGUUGUACAUUUGGUGUGAGGGAGGCAGCCCUCCCCAACAGACACGAGAUGCAGAGAAGAACAUGCCGUUCUGAGAGCAGCGGUACCAAUGAAAUCCCAUAGACGGUCUCUCUCCCCUGUCCUGCUCUGCACAGAAGCCCCGGGUUCUACCAAAUGAAGAACAUGCCAGCCUUCCCCCGUAGGGGUCUUUUUUUCUGAAAUUGCCAAACUUACCAGCUCUGUCAAAUUUAGUUGAAAACUGCUUCAUGUUCUCAGGAUACAUUUGUAGAAACACGUUAUGAAAAGGGAAAAAUUCCCACCUCUACAGGAAGCAAAAGUAGCAACCAGUCACGAACACUGAAUUUCAGCAGUUAUGUCCUGUGAAGAAAGUAAAACUUUUAGCCUACAUUACCCCUCUGCACAGAGCAGCUCUGCAUCCAAGUGCUCUGCUCACCUUUAUCCAUCCCUGUCCCAUCAGUCCGUAAGGCCCGCAAUAUGGAACAGCUCUUCUUCUUCAGUUUGGAAAUGCUCACGUCACCUGGCAGUGCUACCAGAAACAAUAAUUGUGUAAGACAGAAAUACACUGCACUAACUGCCUGAGCCUCAAUUACAUGUGAAGAGGCAAUAAAAUUUAUUGAGGGAAAUACUGUUCCAGAACGCAGUGUAACCAGGGUAAUCCACUGCUUCCAGCAAAGCAAAGCCUAGAGUCUGGCUGGAUCCUGAGCACAGCUUCAGCUUGUGCAGACCAACCACAUCAAUAUGCACUGUCUAGAGAUUCUUUCCUAGAAAACAGGUAGCACUGGAUAUAUCGUAUCACUUCCUAGACGGAUUUUCUUUCUUGGAAAGCACGAAAAGGAACAUCACUUAACACCUCUGACCUCAUUAACCUGCCUAAUUCUGGGUUUCUUACCUCAUGCCACGCUCACCCAGCUCCGAAGUGCAGGUUCUGGCUCUCACCCUUCCCCUGAACAUCCUGCAGAACGCCGGCAGGUGCCGCCACUGGCUCAGCAAUAACCCAGGCGAAAAGUAGGCUUUUUUCCCCGUAGAUGGUGAGGAGGGGCUGGGGGCAAAGCACAUCGCAGCUCCCAGCUUCGGCAGCACCUUGCACUAAGGCCCUCCACAGCCAGCUGAUUAUCCACUGCAGAUUAUCCCAUGGAGAUGUAGAUGCUGUAGCUCAAGCUGCAGGUACCUGCAAUUCUAUGAAGCACAGCAGGAAAUGAUGCCCCAUGCACUCAAACAAUCUCUCACACCAUUACUUGCUCAGCUUUCAAGGGGAAUUAAAAAUAAAUAAAUUCUCAGCUGUAUCCAGGCAUCCAGCUAGGGCUGCCCAUCCCUGGGUCCAAGCAGGCAAAGCAGGAGGUGGCUGCACACCCUGCCCCAGACCCAGCUGUGCCCAGCAGAGGUGGGAUGCCCAAAGUGCUUCCAAAGCAACAACUUGGCUCCUCCAGCAGUGCCACAGAUGUGGCUGGGAAGAACAAGUGCCUCUUGAGUCACUGUGCUAUGAAAGAGUUAAGCAGUUCCCUCUCUCCCCCAACUGAAUCAGAGGAUGCUUCAUAUGUUCUGGUUCUGGAACAAAGGCCAAACAAGUGCAGUCACUGCUCAGACUGCUUUAUGCCCUGGGUCACCAUGACUUAGCUGAAUGCAUGAGCUCUGCAGCAAAUACUGAUUCACUCCAUGUUGUCAACUACAUCCAUGAGCUAGAGGGGUGUCUCCCCUCUGUGUCCUUGUGAAAAAUCAGUCACUGGCCUGUUCCCCAUGACAUCAAUAUCCUCCCUCUUAAUAGAAUGACACGGGUGAUUGCUCUAUAUUUAGCCUUGUUUCUCAUUCCUCAUUGCUGAGGACUGUGGUAAUGGAUCAUAGCUUAUCAAGAGAUCACAGCUAUGCCAGUUGCCUCUUCCCUUUCUCAAGAAGUCUUCAUCACUGAAGCAGAUCUUCCAGUUCGGGCAAGUGGGGCAUCCUUGGCUUCUGAAGCUUGUCCCCAGGAUUUGUUCCAUUUUUAGUCAGAUAUAAAAUUGCAAUUUCGGCUAAAACUUUCCAGGGAACACAACUGCUAGCCUGAAUUUCCUCUCUAGGUUAUGAAUAGGAUAGAAGUGAUAAAUAACAAGAGACUUGCUCAUCGAUCCACUCACUUCUACUUGGUGGCUAAGGAAAGAGAAAGCUAACUCUAUCUCCAGCUGGACUGAAAUCUUACCUCAUGUGAACCAAGAAAAAGCCAGACCACAGCCAGCGUGCUGACCUGGGUCCUUGUCACUGAAACACCAAGCAGCCAUGAGAAAGUUUCCUGCCCUCAUGUUUCCCAUCACCAGAUGCCAAAAACAAGGCACUCACACCAAAAGCAGCUAGUGGACUGUAUUAGCCACAGAAACUGGGCACCACCACAGUACAGUCAGCAUUACUGGCCUGAGUGUGCACAAAAGGUCAUGCUGCAGAAAGAAGAAACUCCAAGAAGCUGAGAACUCCAGUUCCCUGAGUAGUUUUUCUGCAGUAGGAGAGGAAUGAAGCAGAACAGUUGCAUGUAAGGUGAGCUGUGCAGUGCAAACAACGUGAGUUGAAGUAUUAAUCUUUAGUUCAUGUGCUGCAAUCCCUGCUUCUACUCCAAGAGGGAACAAAAUUAAAUUUUUGCUCAUUUUCUUUCAAAGGGACGCAACUGAAAUUGUGAGGCCUUUUGUCUAACUGCUUCAGCAACCAUAGGCAUUCUGUUAAUAUACAGCAAAACAACCUCUCUAGUGGGAGAAAUAAAAAACUUUGUUAUAAAUAAACUGGUUGCAAACAAGCUGUCGAUUCACACACAGCGUUUUAUUUACAAAGGCAUGCCAAGUCCAGACUUGUUUUUGUUUUAAUUUACUGCACCACAGAUAGUAAAAAAAAACAGCCAAACAAAAACUGAGCCAAAGGGAUUGUCUCUGCAAGUAUGCCCGUUUCUUAGAGAUUGCCCAUAUCCCUUUAAGGCAGCACAAAGCCUUUCUUUAUAGUGGUUUUAAAGUGACCUCUUAAAUUAAGACAGCAGGGUCAAACUGACCACACAGUAUGUAGCCAUGUACUCAGCUGUUGCCUCAUAACUUACAGAUUUGUUUAUAGCUCUGGUAGUUAGAAGAAAGAUGUUCCUCAGAUCAGUGCAACUCAUCUUUUAAAAAAGAAGUCUCAUUUCAAUAACUAGCAUAUUUGGGAAAGUCAUACAAUAAGCUAGAGCCCACCUUUGUCUUGCAGAGUCUGCAAGAAUUGAUCAGCAUCUCCAAAAGCCACCAUAACGCUACAGAUCUUUCCCUGCUUCCUGCCUUCCCAGUUAAUUGGCAGGUCAUUCUAGAGCAUUUCUAGAAAAUGAGGAAAAAACCAAAAACCAUACACUUCUAAAUAAGGGUUUGGUUCACUUCCAUUCAGGACAUUGUUGUUUACACCUGCAAUUAGCUGGCCCAAGCAUCUAUUGGUAUUAUUCCUCUGCAUCAGCUCAAAAAUAGAUUAAUCUCUCACAUUAUGCGUAGGGAACAUGGGCAAUAAAAUAAAUUCAAGUCCUAAACAAGCAGUCAAACAGGCCAGCACAACUUGAAAAUGUUCAGCUUGUAAAAUCCUAAUCCAAUCCUUAGCAGUUAGGACAUGCCAGAACUAGAAUUACUGGUACAACUUCAGUUCACGCCUCCUGUAAGUGAAUUAUAACACUGGCUUAGAACGUGGCCCCACAGUCACUUUGUCGUUUUGCCUGGGGAUCCAUAUAUUCAAUGCACUGAAGAUAGAGAUUGCUGAAUGGGCAGCUAGUCACUUCUGACUUUUCUUUACUGGCAAUGUGUUUGGACCACACAUUGAAUGUUUACUGCACACCAGCCAAAUCCUGCACAGAAUACAGAAUUAUUUGUUUUCUCCGGGGCAUUUGUGGUGCCCACCACUACUGCAGCCUACUGAUUUGCAAAGACUUGGUUAUCGUCAUGACGUGACACGGUGGGUAAGACUAAGCCCCACUGCACAACAGAGGUCCACGAGCUAAAAGCAUCCCUUCAGUUUCAGAACGUAGCUUGUGCCAAUGGCUGCUUCCCUCCACCAUCACCUCACUCCAGGUUAUUUAGUAGUAGAGUAUAUUUCCACCUCCAUCUGUUAAAUUCAACCCUUGAUGCCUCAAAUGAAGUACGGACAUCUCACAGAUAGCGGCCACCCGAGAAGAGCAGAAGUGCUGCACAGUAUCUCU
Phasianus colchicus (ring-necked pheasant) is the source of this 4252-nucleotide non-coding RNA. Lineage: Eukaryota; Metazoa; Chordata; Aves; Galliformes; Phasianidae. The record is from RefSeq and is a predicted model, not a curated record.